AUGAUUUUGAAACGAAGUCAAAAUUAAAACUGGCUCGCUGACUAAGAUUUCAUUGCAGAUGCGACCUUUUCCUGCACCGUUACACGAAACACGGCUUCAAAGCAUUUAAACAGCUGUACAGCGCAUGUAGCGUGCUAAAUUCGCGGAUCUUCAAUGGCAGUUAGGAGAUCAGACUCUCUACACGAGCACAAAAAAUGCCGAGUCUGAGCCGGCUCAGAAAGUAAUAAUAAUCUGGACCUAAUCGCUCGAGCACACGCACCUCCACGCGUCUGCUUGGCGUUGGACGCCUAACUGACUUCUACUGGGGAGAAUAACGAGGCGCGUCGCUGCCCUGAACCCCUUCGGGGAAAUAUUAAUACUACGAAAUGGACCGCGGGCUACGUUUUGGCAAUGGAAAGCUGUACUUACGUGACAACUAUCAUCCAUGGAUUAUUUAUGUGCAUGUGAAACUAAAAAAGAAUCGAAUGGUUCGCGGCGUCCCGUUGUCUGAACAGAAAGCGAAAAAAAAUACUCGCACCCUUCAAGAAAUUGAACUAAGACGAUCUAAGACGAACAGGUCAGCAUUUAUGGAUCAUUCGGGCAAAAGAAUCGAUUAAAAACGUGAAUGCGACAUUUAAUUUUACGCACGUUUAAAGAAACAAAAAUAUUUUCAACGGUUAUAGAGUAGA
This 668-nucleotide long non-coding RNA is filed under the name Varroa destructor (honeybee mite). RNAcentral's name for it is "uncharacterized LOC111245756, transcript variant X3". The record is from RNAcentral. Lineage: Eukaryota; Metazoa; Arthropoda; Arachnida; Mesostigmata; Varroidae.